UUUAAAGAUCCGCUUGUGUUAAUAUGAAAUUUGGCAUAGGUACACAUAGCUCGCAUGUCAAAGAAAAAAAGUGAUAUUGUGCCGAUGUGUGCUUUUGCCUUGGGGGUGAGUACCACCCCUUCUCGGGGAGGGGAGAAAAACCAUAGAAUGGGUGAAAACAAAAAUAUUAUUUUGUCUCCGGUAAACCUAAGCCCGGUCCUGGACUCUAUGAACUUAUUCUUAUUCAAACUAAAGGCCCCGUCUCACCAUCAAAUAAUUGACAGUUAUUUGAUCAAACUUGACAGUUAUUGGGUGCAUUCAGCAGACACAAUCGCUAACUAAUCGAUUAGUGAUUUUCUGCUGAAUGCCACAUAAAUUGUGACCAGUGAUGUCCUCCCACAUCACUGAUUGUGACAUUCAGCAUAUAAAUCACAAAUCGAUUAGUUAGCGAUUGCGUCUGCUGAAUGCACCCAGGUGACACAAAGUGACAGUUAGUAUGUAUAGUUUGUGUCACUAGUCAAGUUUGACUGUCAAGUUUGAUCAAAUAACUGUCAAUUAUUUGAUGGUGAGACGGGGCCUUAAAGCUACUGUCGCAGAAAAUUCCUUUCUGGCGAAUUCAGAAGAAAAAUUGAGUCAACAGAUUAUUAUUUUUUACCUCAUGUCGUUUUUAUUUGGACUAUUAAAGAACAAAUAAAUAGCUAUCAUAUAUUUUCCGUUCUGUUUAUUAAAUUAUUAAUAUUUAAAGAAGUGCAUUUCCGUACAGAAAUCCUAUUGGUGUAUUUUCAGUGAUUUUCGUACUGGAUUCAUCUACUUGGUGGGGAGGUCGUUAAGAAAACAACAAUGUGAAACUAGGUUUAGUAUGAAUCACAGUCAGUCUUGACAGUACCAGGAGCGCCUAAAGAUACAGUGCGGCUCCCUACUUUGCGCAUGCGUCAAAAUAUUUACAACGUUGUCAUGUUGUUUACACAUUGACAUCGCCGGGAAAUUCAAAAUGCUAGCUCGUUGCAAGGAAUCUUUUAUUUUGACAAAUGACAUAAUAUUUUUGUAAUGUAAAUAUAAAAAUAACCUAUAAAAAUAAAAUUCUAUUUUGUUUUACCUGUACCUGUAAAAGGGUAUUAAGAAAAUAUAAGAUCAUUGAAAAGAGUAAAACGUUGAAUUUAAUUAUUUUGUCAGUUAAACAACAACAUACCCAUCAUACAAUAUGGAAGUGCUAUUUUAGGUUUAGAAGUUUUUAAAUACUUUUGCAUAUUAUGGGUAUAUAAAAUGACACCAUUGCAGAAUCUUCAGUCAGACAGUAGUUGAAGUGUUGUAUAAUCAAUGACAAAUUGCCUCAAGAAUUGUUAUAGAAAGAAUAUUUGGUAUUUUAUGCAGAAAAGAUUCCCCAUAUUAGUAUGUGAAAUGAGAUGAAAGUUACCUUUUGUUUGAAGAAUAAUAUCAGCUUGUAUACUUUUACAUAAUAUUGCAGUUGUUAAUAGAGAAAACAUUGAAAUACUGGAAAAGGAGGAUGCUGUUAUUUAAUGGAACAAGCUGUGGCAGUACCUACAUUUUCAACCAGGAGCAAAUCUAGUGUAACUAAAUGUUGUGUGUGUUUGUUUUAAAAGAUUAUUCUCCAUUUAACUCAAGCCUAAAUGGUUCCCACAUAACAAUUUCAUGUUCUUGGUAGAUUUGAUAUUCAAUAUUCGAUAAAUAGACUAUUGAUUAUGUAUUUUAGAAAGGAACUACAAUGUUAACGGGGUUUUAUUGUUUUAUAUAGUCAAUGGACUUUUAAAUAUGAAAAACCCUCGGAGUGCUACCAUUUAAAGGGGUGAAUUAAUCCCUAGGCACAGGACGAAUUAGGGUGAGUUCUAUGCACUUUUGGUCCAAACACAUCUGCAGGAAAAUUGUUCCAGGUUAAAUUUACUAUCCAAACAUCACAUUUUAAAGUUUAAAAUAUCUUUUUUUACAAAAAUAUAUUCAAAAGAAAAGCAAGAAAAAAAACUUCCAUCCUUAUUCUUUAAAAUGACGUUUAGUAGAAGUCUCUAUGAUUUAUGAUUUCCAAAAUAUGAUUUUUCAAACUUGGCCACUCACAGCGAUUUUGGCCCAUUUUCCUUGUUACUUCUCAAACAUUGUUCUGUAACUUUUUUCUAUGUAGCUUUAGGUAUAUGCAAUGUUACAUUUAAUAGGAAAAAAGGUCAAUUACCUUUAGAAAGUUUUAUACUUUUAAUGAUUUUUGAUAUAUUUUACAAUUAUUUUUAAAUUUCUCAUUAUAACUUUUUUUAUUGUAUAUGUAGGUAUAUAAUUGGUAGGUAUAUUAUUGUCUAAUAAAAAAGAAAGCUUAUUUUAUUUACUUUAAAAUGGUGUAUCAUAAAAAAUUCUGGGACUAUUUUUAAACAAGAUAUUAAAAUGUGACAUAUCGAUACAUCAAAGCAACAGUGAGAUAAGUCCAAAAUUUCAAUUUUUUUUAAGUACGCUAUUUACAUAGAAUGUAUUGCACUCUAUACUGGUAACACUGAGAUAUGUAUAUCUCAGUUAUCAGAGAUACAUAUCUCAGUGUUACCAGUAAUAGAGUAUAGAGUGCAAUACAUUCUAUGUAAAUAGCGUACUUAAAAAAAAUUGAAAUUUUCUACUUAUCUCACUGUUGCUUUGAGGUAUCGAUAUGUAUACACAUGCAAUAGGUCCCACUAAGUUGGAACCCUAUGGAAAACUUUUUUAUUAUUAACUUUAUGAAAAAAACUUAUGAUAUAAUAUGCAAUCAUAUUUUUCUAAUUGAAAAAAAUUUAAAAUUUUUCUCAAAUUACGGAUACUCUUGGAUAUCAUACGGAUAUCGUGUUUAAAAAUUGUCCUAGAAUUUUUUGCAAUACACCAUUUUAAAGUAAAGAAAAUAAGCUUUUUUAUUCCACAAUGUAUAUACUUAAACGUACAAGAAAAAAAGUCAUAAUGAGAAAUUUGAAAAAGCAUAACUUGCUUAGAAAGAGCUGUAUAAACAACCUUAUACAAUAGACUAUUUUAAAGGUAAUUAAUUUCUCUUUCUACUAUUGCAUAUACAUAGAAAUGUGCACGAAAUAGUUACAGAACAAUGUUUGCGAAAUAAUGGGGAAAAUUGCCCAAAAAUGCUGUGAGCGGCAAACUUAGAAAAAUCCUAUUUCGGAAACUAUAAAGCUUAGAGAAUUUUACCAAACUUCAUUUUAAAGAGGAAGGAUGGAAGUUAUUUUUUGCUAAAGCAAUGCCUAUACCUAUAUCCCCGUGGAAAAUAGUUAUGGGGCUAAAAACAAAAUUGCUUUCUUUCGUGUUUUUUUCUUGCUUUUAUUUUGAAUAUAAUAUUUUUGUAAAAAAAAUAUUUUUGACUUUAAAAUGUGAUGUUUGGAUAGUAAAUUUAACCUGGAACAAUUUUCCUGUAGAUGUGUUUAUAUCAAAAGUGCAUAGAACUCACCCUAAUUCACCCUGUGACUAGGGACUAAUCCACCCCUUUCUCAAAAACGCACCCAUUUCAAUGGUAGCACUCCAUGGUUUUUUCUAAUUUAGAGACAGAUAUGAGACAAUAAAAUUCCGUUAACGUUGUAGUUCCUUUUAGUUCUCUUAUUUUGAACAUAAUCAAUAGCCUAAAAGGUUUAUUCCAAGAAUAAACUUUUACGAAUAUUCUAAGUAACUACAUACAUGAAUGUGCUCAGUAUAUUUGGUCCGAGAAUAUUCUUCGAAGUAUAUGCAAAAAACAUGAAAUUUAGAAUGUUUUUAUAGUACAUGCUAUGCUUCUACUACACACAUACUAAAAAGAAUAUAUUCCGACGAAUGUUGGUAUCGAACAUGAAAGGAAAAUCAUUGUUAUGUAGUAUAAUGUUGAUAAUAUUAUUUUUAUUGGACUGCAGUUUGUUAAUAAAUUUAUAAAUUAAUAGGUAUAUUAUAUUGGUGACUGAUUUGAUUUUAAGUAUUUUAUUAUUAUUAGCAAUUUAUAAAUACAUGAUAUUGGUGUUUGA
RNAcentral lists this long non-coding RNA (3929 nucleotides) under Diabrotica virgifera virgifera (western corn rootworm). RNAcentral's name for it is "uncharacterized LOC126884067". Lineage: Eukaryota; Metazoa; Arthropoda; Insecta; Coleoptera; Chrysomelidae. The record is from RNAcentral.